AGCAGCCGCGGUAAUUCCAGCUCCAAUAGCGUAUAUUAAAGUUGUUGCAGUUAAAAAGCUCGUAGUUGAAUUUCGGGGUCAGCAGGUUGGUCGUGCCACCGGUAUGCACUGGCUUUGCUGAUUCCUCCUUCUUGUAGAACCGUAAUGCCAUUAAGUUGGUGUUGCGGGGAAACAGGACUGUUACUUUGAAAAAAUUAGAGUGUUUAAAGCAGGCUGAGGCUUGAAUACAUUAGCAUGGAAUAAUGAAAUAGGACGACGAUCCUAUUUUGUUGGUUUCUAGGAUUGACGUAAUGAUUAAUAGGGAUAGUUGGGGGCAUUAGUAUUCAAUUGUCAGAGGUGAAAUUCUUGGAUUUAUUGAGGACUGACUACUGCGAAAGCAUUUGCCAAGGAUGUUUUCAUUAAUCAAGAACGAAAGUUAGGGGAUCGAAGCCGAUCAGAUACCGUCGUAGUCUUAACCAUAAACUAUGCCGACUAGGGAUCGGAUGAUGUUAAUUUUUUAAUGACUCA
This 507-nucleotide ribosomal RNA is filed under the name uncultured Glomus. RNAcentral describes it as "SSU rRNA". It matches the Rfam family "Eukaryotic small subunit ribosomal RNA", at positions 569 to 1078 of the family's 1831-position model. The record is from RNAcentral. Lineage: Eukaryota; Fungi; Glomeromycota; Glomeromycetes; Glomerales; Glomeraceae.